This 3638-nucleotide long non-coding RNA is filed under the name Salmo salar (Atlantic salmon). Its description in RNAcentral is "lncRNA (ENSSSAG00000105326.1)". Lineage: Eukaryota; Metazoa; Chordata; Actinopteri; Salmoniformes; Salmonidae. The record is from RNAcentral.
AGGCAGGGAACACUGACACUGGAGCGCACGUGCACGAGGGGACUCCAUGUUUUUCUUUCUCUCUUUGAACGAAUACAAUGUCGCCCGGUUGGAAUAUUAUCGCUAUUUUACGAGAAAAAUUGCAUAAAAAUUGAUUUUAAACAGCGUUUGACAUGCUUCGAAGUACGGUAAUGGAAUAUUUUGACAUUUUUCGUCACAAAAACGGAGCUAUUUCAAUAUAACUAUGGAUUAUUUCGAACCAAAACAACAUUUGUUGUUGAAGUAGAAGUCCUGGGAUUGCAUUCUGACGAAGAACAGCAAAGGUAAUCCAAUUUUUCUUAUAGUAAAUCUGAGUUUGGUGAGGGCCAAACUUGGUGGGUGUCAAAUUAGCUAGCCGUGAUGGCCGGGCUAUCUACUCAGAAUAUUGCAAAAUGUGCUUUCGCCAAAAAGCUAUUUUAAAAUCUGACACUGCGAUUGCAUAAAGGAGGUCUGUAUCUAUAAUUCUUAAAAUAAUUGUUAUGUAUUUUGUGAACGUUAAUCGUGAGUAAUUUAGUAAAUUCACCGGAAGUUUGCGGUGGGUAUGCUAGUUCUGAACAUCACAUGCUAAUGUAAAAAGCUGGUUUUUGAUAUAAAUAUGAACUUGAUUGAACAAAACAUGCAUGUAUUGUAUAACAUAAUGUCCUAGGAGUGUCAUCUGAUGAAGAUCAUCAAAGGUUAGUGCUGCAUUUAGCUGUGGUUUUGGUUUUUGUGACAUACAUUCAUGCUUUGAAAAUGGCUGUGUGAUUAUUUUUGGCAGGGUACUCUCCUGACAUAAUCUAAUGUUUUGCUUUCGCUGUAAAGCCUUUUUGAAAUCGGACAGUGUGGUUAGAUGAAUGAGAGUCUUGUCUUUAAAAUGGUGUAAAAUAGUCAUGUGUUUAAGAAAUUGAAGUUACAGCAUUUAUGAGGUAACGCAAACGUCCCAUUUUGCCCAGGGAGGUUAAAGCUAUUGAGGGAGAUAAGUGUUUCCAGUUUCAGGUAUUUUUGUAGUUCCUUCCAGUCAUUGGCAGCAGAGAGCUGGAAGGAGAGGCUGCCAAAGGAGGAAUUGGCUUUAGGGGUGACCAGAGAGAUAUAUACCUGCUGGAGCGCGUGCUACAGGUGGGUGCUGCUAUGGUGAACAGCGAGCUGAGAUAAGGGGUCACUUUACCUAGGGUGGUCUUGUAGAUGACCUGGAGCCAGUGGGUUUGGCGACGAGUAUGAAGCGAGGUCCAGCCAACGAGAGCGUACAGGUCGCAGUGGUGGGUAGAAUAUGGGGCUUUGGUGACAAAACGGAUGGUACUGUGAUAGACUGCAUCCAAUUUAUUAUAACACAUAACACCACCAAUACAACAGAGACAAUAUAACACCACUAAUACAAAAGAGACAAUAUAACAUAUUACACCACUAAUAUAACAGAGACAAUAUAACACCACUAAUACAACAGAGACAAUAUAACAUAUAACACCACUAAUACAACAGAAAUAAUAUAACACCACUAAAACAACAGAGACAAUAUAACAUAUAACACCACUAAUACAACAGAGACAAUAUAACACCACUAAUACAACAGAGACAAUAUAACAUAUAACACCACUAAUACAACAGAAAUAAUAUAACACCACUAAAACAACAGAGACAAUAUAACAUAUAACACCACUAAUACAACAGAGAUAAUAUAGCACCACUAAUACAACAGAGACAAUAUAACACCACUAACACAACAGAGACAAUAUAACACCACUAAUACAACAGAGACAAUAUAACAUAUAACACCACUAAUACAACAGAGAUAAUAUAACACCACUAAUACAACAGAGAUAAUAUAACACCACUAAUACAACAGAGACAAUAUAACACCACUAACACAACAGAGACAAUAUUACACCACUAAUACAACAGAGACAAUAUAACACCACUAAUACAACAGAGACAAUAUAACAUAUAACACCACUAAUACAACAGAGACAAUAUAACAAAUAACACCACUAAUAAAACAGAGAUAAUAUAACACCACUAAUACAACAGAGACAAUAUAACACCACUAACACAACAGAGACAAUAUAACACCACUAAUACAACAGAGACAAUAUAACAUAUAACACCACUAAUACAACAGAGACAAUAAAACAUAUAACACCACUAAUACAACAAAGAUAAUAUAACACCACUAAUACAACAUUGAUAAUAUAACACCACCAAUAUAACAGAGACAUUAUAACACCACUAAUACAACAUAGAUAAUAUAACACCACUAAUAUAACAGAGACAAUAUAACACCACUAAUACAACAGAGAUAAUAUAACACCACUAAUAUAACAGAGACAUUAUAACACCAGUAAUACAAAAGAGACAAUAUAACACCACUAAUACAACAGAGAUAAUAUAACACCACUAAUAUAACAGAGACAUUAUAACACCACUAAUACAACAGAGACAAUAUAACACCACUAAUACAAAAGAGACAAUAUAACACCACUAAUACAACAGAGACAAUAUAACACCACUAAUACAACAGAGACAAUAUAACAUAUAACACCACUAAUACAACAGAGAUAAUAUAACACCACUAAUACAACAGAGAUAAUAUAACAUAUAACACCACUAAUACAACAGAGACAAUAUAACACCACUAAUACAACAGAGACAAUAUAACAUAAAACACCACUAAUACAACAGAGACAAUAUAACACCACUAAUACAACAGAGAUAAUAUAACACCACUAACUCAACAGAGACAAUAUAACACCACUAACACAACAGAGAUAAUAUAACACCACUAAUACAACAGAGAUAAUAUAACACCACUAAUACAACAGAGACAUUAUAACACCACUAACACAACAGAGACAAUAUAACACCACUAAUACAACAGAGACAAUAUAACACCACUAAUACAACAGAGACAAUAUAACACCACUAAUACAACAGAGACAAUAUAACACCACUAAUACAACAGAGACAAUAUAACAUAUAACACCACUAAUACAACAGAGACAAUAUAACAUAUAACACCACUAAUACAACAGAGACAAUAUAACACCACUAAUAUAACAGAGACAAUAUAACAUAUAACACCACUAAUACAACAGAGACAAUAUAACACCACUAAUACAACAGAGACAAUAUAACAUAUAACACCACUAAUACAACAGAGAAAAUAUAACACCACUAAUACAACAGAGACAAUAUAACACCACUAAUACAACAGAGAUAAUAUAACAUAUAACACCACUAAUACAACAGAGACAAUAUAACACCACUAAUACAACAGAGAUAAUAUAACAUAUAACACCACUAAUACAACAGAGACAAUAUAACACCACUAAUACAACAGAGACAAUAUAACAUAUAACACCACUAAUACAACAGAGACAAUAUAACAUAUAACACCACUAAUACAACAGAGACAAUAUAACAUAUAACACCACUAAUACAACAGAGAUAAUAUAACACCACUAAUACAACAGAGACAAUAUAACACCACUAAUACAACAGAGACAAUAUAACACCACUAAUACAACAGAGACAAUAUAACACCACUAAUACAACAGAGACAAUAUAACAUAUAACACCACUAAUACAACAGAGACAAUAUAACACCAAUAAUACAACAGAGACAAUAUAACACCACUAAUACAACAGAG